This is a long non-coding RNA of Lutra lutra (Eurasian river otter), 311 nucleotides long. RefSeq lists it as uncharacterized. The transcript is spliced from 3 exons. Lineage: Eukaryota; Metazoa; Chordata; Mammalia; Carnivora; Mustelidae. The record is from RefSeq and is a predicted model, not a curated record.
CAGAGCAUUACUGUUCUCUUCAAUCAUGGAUCCUCCAUGCAUACAGAAUGCCUGCAAACAGUAAACAUACAUGACCAUGGAGGCAAUUAAUCGAAAUGGCAGCACUCAACAAAUAAAUAGUCUGAGUGACUACACGGAGAAAAGCAGCUCUGGAAAGACAUUUGACUGACAUCAGACUUGUGCAUAAACAGCCUCCAGCUGGAUCUGGCUGAGCCAGACUAAAUUGCAUUUGAUUCAUUGACUUUGCUGCAAUUGGUCUGUAUAACAGUAUGGCAGGGACCCAACAUUACAAUCCUUUUGUUCACGGCACU